UUCGCAAUGCCCGAAAGGGUGACGAAGCGACGCCGCGUGUGGGAAGAAGGCCUUCGGGUUGUAAACCACUGUCGGGAGUUAAGAAAUGCAAGGAUAUUAAUAGUGUCUUUGUUUGACUAAGGCUCCGGAGGAAGCCACGGCUAACUCUGUGCCAGCAGCCGCGGUAAUACAGAGGCGGCAAGCGUUGUUCGGAAUUAUUGGGCGUAAAGAGCACGUAGGCGGCUAUGUAAGUCGGUUGUGAAAGCCUUCCGCUUAACGGAAGAACGGCAUCCGAUACUGCAUAGCUUGAGUGCGGGAGGGGAGAGUGGAACUUCUGGUGGAGCGGUGAAAUGCGUAGAUAUCAGAAGGAACACCGGCGGCGAAGGCGACUCUCUGGUCCGUAACUGACGCUGAGUGUGCGAAAGCUAGGGGAGCAAACGGGAUUAGAUACCCCGGUAGUCCUAGCCGUAAACGAUGGGCACUAAGUAGAGGGGUUUU
This 477-nucleotide ribosomal RNA is filed under the name uncultured bacterium. RNAcentral describes it as "bacterial SSU rRNA". It matches the Rfam family "Bacterial small subunit ribosomal RNA", at positions 365 to 832 of the family's 1533-position model. The record is from RNAcentral.